RNAcentral lists this ribosomal RNA (264 nucleotides) under uncultured archaeon. Its description in RNAcentral is "partial 16S ribosomal RNA". It matches the Rfam family "Archaeal small subunit ribosomal RNA", at positions 719 to 982 of the family's 1478-position model. The record is from RNAcentral.
ACACGACUACAUUAGAUACCCGUGUAGUCCUAGCCGUAAACGAUACUCGCUAGGUGUCGGCCACGGUGCGACCGUUGUCGGUGCCGUAGGGAAGCCGUGAAGCGAGCCACCUGGGAAGUACGGCCGCAAGGCUGAAACUUAAGGAAUUGGCGGGGAGCACAACAACGGGUGGAGCUUGCGGUUUAAUUGGAUUCAACGCCGGAAAUCUUACCGGGACCGACAGCAACAUGAAGGCCAAGCUGAAGACUUUGCCGGAUUUAGCUG